UUAGUUAGAUACAGUUAGUUAGAUACACUCUUCUAACUAAUGUCAGGGUACAAGUGUGUUUACGUGAGGCACUGAGUAAAGACAUGUCAGGCUGUGACUGUCUCCUCUCCUUGUUCUGGUCUGAUCCUCCUAUCAUCAUGACACUGUACUGAAGACCAUACCCUAACCAGUUCAUACUGAGUAAUGGAGACAAGGACAUGGAACGACUGAAGUGUUUUUAAAACCUUAUAUACCCUAUCUUAAUGAAGUACUGCAACAGCUGAACUCACUGGAUAACAGAGUGAUUACAUUACUCUAUGACAUUAUUUGUACCAAAGGAUUUAGACUCUCUUAUAAACCUGGACAUGAGUUUUCAUUGAUUGAGUGAUUUGAGUCUCAGACCUCAGUAUCUGCCCAUAUAGUUCAGCCAUUGUUUCUUUGAGUUGCAAUACUCCUCAGAGAGAGGAGAAAUGGCAGAGAACAGCCUCAGAGUACGGUACCUUCUUAGCCUAUCAUGGGAGCAGAGUAGAGAACUUUCACCCAAUCGCACACAACGGACUCCUCAGUCACAUUAACAAGGUAGUGUAGAGCCACACCCAAAUACCAAACACCACCCACUCAUUUAAUUACCACUUCUGUGACCUGUGAUUAUGUACAUGUACAUGUGUAUUGAUUGUUAUUGAAAAUGUUCUUUUGUUUUUGUUUGCCAAAUAAACUCAACAAUAGAUUCACUGAUUGAAUGGUAAGCCAAGAGAAGACAAUGAAAUAUGAUAGUAACUGGAGUCACUUACCAGCUUUCAUUAUGUUAUUUAUGCCAAUACUAAGUAACUGGAGUCACUUACCAAUUUUCAUUAUGUUGUUUAUGCCAAUGCUAA
Amphimedon queenslandica is the source of this 854-nucleotide long non-coding RNA. RefSeq lists it as uncharacterized. The transcript has 3 exons. NCBI's taxonomy places the organism in Eukaryota, Metazoa, Porifera, Demospongiae, Haplosclerida, Niphatidae. The record is from RefSeq and is a predicted model, not a curated record.